AUGGGUACGGAUACUUCGAGCGCGACGGUGGAGGUGGGCGGCGGGUGCCCGGGAGUGUACGGCCCCGGUGCUUAUCCUGGCCACCCCGGCGCGGUGAAGCUUGACACGGCCACCGGCGGCGGAUACAACGUGGUGGGCAGGAAUGGUAGGAGGUACCUCGUGCCGGCCCUGGUCGAUCCCGCCAACCACUCCUGCCAGUGGCGGAGCCAGAUCUUUUCUGGAGCCUGGGCAAGCUUGAGCCUAAGUGUCUAA
This 252-nucleotide ribosomal RNA is filed under the name Triticum aestivum (bread wheat). RNAcentral's name for it is "partial small subunit ribosomal RNA". The record is from RNAcentral. Lineage: Eukaryota; Viridiplantae; Streptophyta; Magnoliopsida; Poales; Poaceae.